AGAGUUUGAUCAUGGCUCAGAAUGAACGCUGGCGGCGUGCUUUACACAUGCAAGUCGAGCGAGGCGGGUAGCAAUACCCAGUCGAGCGGCGAACGGGUGAGUAACGCGUGGAUUAUCUGCCCUGAGGUGGGGGAUAACCCGGGGAAACUCGGGCUAAUACCGCAUAUGACCGUGAGGUCAAAGGGGGGUCGCAAGAUCUCUCGCCAUAGGAGGAGUCCGCGUACGAUUAGCUAGUUGGUAGGGUAAUGGCCGACCAAGGCGACGAUCGUUAGCCGGCCUGAGAGGGUGAUCGGCCACACUGGAACUGAGACACGGUCCAGACUCCUACGGGAGGCAGCAGUGGGGAAUUUUGCGCAAUGGGGGAAACCCUGACGCAGCAACGCCGCGUGGAGGAUGAAGUCCCUUGGGACGUAAACUCCUUUCGAUCGGGACGAAUAAAUGACGGUACCGGAAGAAGAAGCCCCGGCUAACUCCGUGCCAGCAGCCGCGGUAAUA
RNAcentral lists this ribosomal RNA (495 nucleotides) under uncultured bacterium. Its description in RNAcentral is "bacterial SSU rRNA". It matches the Rfam family "Bacterial small subunit ribosomal RNA", at positions 8 to 525 of the family's 1533-position model. The record is from RNAcentral.